This 663-nucleotide ribosomal RNA is filed under the name Vreelandella aquamarina. Its description in RNAcentral is "bacterial SSU rRNA". It matches the Rfam family "Bacterial small subunit ribosomal RNA", at positions 806 to 1471 of the family's 1533-position model. The record is from RNAcentral. Lineage: Bacteria; Pseudomonadati; Pseudomonadota; Gammaproteobacteria; Oceanospirillales; Halomonadaceae.
ACGAUGUCGACAGCCGUUGGGUGCCUAGCGCACUUUGUGGCGAAGUUAACGCGAUAAGUCGACCGCCUGGGGAGUACGGCCGCAAGGUUAAAACUCAAAUGAAUUGACGGGGGCCCGCACAAGCGGUGGAGCAUGUGGUUUAAUUCGAUGCAACGCGAAGAACCUUACCUACUCUUGACAUCCUGCGAAUUCGGUAGAGAUACCUUAGUGCCUUCGGGAACGCAGAGACAGGUGCUGCAUGGCUGUCGUCAGCUCGUGUUGUGAAAUGUUGGGUUAAGUCCCGUAACGAGCGCAACCCUUGUCCUUAUUUGCCAGCGCGUAAUGGCGGGAACUCUAAGGAGACUGCCGGUGACAAACCGGAGGAAGGUGGGGACGACGUCAAGUCAUCAUGGCCCUUACGAGUAGGGCUACACACGUGCUACAAUGGUCGGUACAAAGGGUUGCGAGCUCGCGAGAGUCAGCCAAUCCCGAAAAGCCGAUCUCAGUCCGGAUCGGAGUCUGCAACUCGACUCCGUGAAGUCGGAAUCGCUAGUAAUCGUAGAUCAGAAUGCUACGGUGAAUACGUUCCCGGGCCUUGUACACACCGCCCGUCACACCAUGGGAGUGGACUGCACCAGAAGUGGUUAGCCUAACGCAAGAGGGCGAUCACCACGGUGUGGUUCA